Molecule: ribosomal RNA, 994 nt
Filed under: Staphylococcus aureus
Lineage: Bacteria; Bacillati; Bacillota; Bacilli; Caryophanales; Staphylococcaceae
Description: bacterial SSU rRNA
Rfam family: Bacterial small subunit ribosomal RNA
Source: RNAcentral
UUUAUGGAGAGUUUGAUCCUGGCUCAGGAUGAACGCUGGCGGCGUGCCUAAUACAUGCAAGUCGAGCGAACGGACGAGAAGCUUGCUUCUCUGAUGUUAGCGGCGGACGGGUGAGUAACACGUGGAUAACCUACCUAUAAGACUGGGAUAACUUCGGGAAACCGGAGCUAAUACCGGAUAAUAUUUUGAACCGCAUGGUUCAAAAGUGAAAGACGGUCUUGCUGUCACUUAUAGAUGGAUCCGCGCUGCAUUAGCUAGUUGGUAAGGUAACGGCUUACCAAGGCAACGAUGCAUAGCCGACCUGAGAGGGUGAUCGGCCACACUGGAACUGAGACACGGUCCAGACUCCUACGGGAGGCAGCAGUAGGGAAUCUUCCGCAAUGGGCGAAAGCCUGACGGAGCAACGCCGCGUGAGUGAUGAAGGUCUUCGGAUCGUAAAACUCUGUUAUUAGGGAAGAACAUAUGUGUAAGUAACUGUGCACAUCUUGACGGUACCUAAUCAGAAAGCCACGGCUAACUACGUGCCAGCAGCCGCGGUAAUACGUAGGUGGCAAGCGUUAUCCGGAAUUAUUGGGCGUAAAGCGCGCGUAGGCGGUUUUUUAAGUCUGAUGUGAAAGCCCACGGCUCAACCGUGGAGGGUCAUUGGAAACUGGAAAACUUGAGUGCAGAAGAGGAAAGUGGAAUUCCAUGUGUAGCGGUGAAAUGCGCAGAGAUAUGGAGGAACACCAGUGGCGAAGGCGACUUUCUGGUCUGUAACUGACGCUGAUGUGCGAAAGCGUGGGGAUCAAACAGGAUUAGAUACCCUGGUAGUCCACGCCGUAAACGAUGAGUGCUAAGUGUUAGGGGGUUUCCGCCCCUUAGUGCUGCAGCUAACGCAUUAAGCACUCCGCCUGGGGAGUACGACCGCAAGGUUGAAACUCAAAGGAAUUGACGGGGACCCGCACAAGCGGUGGAGCAUGUGGUUUAAUUCGAAGCAACGCGAAGAACCUUACCA